Molecule: transfer RNA, 76 nt
Filed under: Myxococcales bacterium
Lineage: Bacteria; Pseudomonadati; Myxococcota; Myxococcia; Myxococcales
Description: tRNA-Ala
Rfam family: tRNA
About the family: Transfer RNA (tRNA) molecules are approximately 80 nucleotides in length. Their secondary structure includes four short double-helical elements and three loops (D, anti-codon, and T loops).
Source: RNAcentral
GGGGCUGUAGCUCAUCUGGGAGAGCGCUGUCGUGGCACGGCAGAGGUAGUGGGUUCGAGGCCCACCAGUUCCACCA